This 468-nucleotide ribosomal RNA is filed under the name uncultured bacterium. RNAcentral's name for it is "partial 16S ribosomal RNA". It matches the Rfam family "Bacterial small subunit ribosomal RNA", at positions 28 to 507 of the family's 1533-position model. The record is from RNAcentral.
GACGAACGCUGGCGGCGUGCUUAAUACAUGCAAGUCGAACGGACAGGCCCUGCUCUUGUUGCUUGCUCGAGUGGCGAACGGGUGAGUAACACGCGUGUAACCUGCCCCUGACUGUCGGGUAACUCCAGGAAACAGGGGCUAAUACCGGGUAGGAGAUACUGCUGCAUGGUGGGCGUUGGAAAAAUUCGGCUGUUGGGGAUGGACUCGCGGGAUAUCAGCUUGUUGGUGGGGUAGUGGCUUACAAAGGCUUUGAAGGGUAGCCGGCCUGAGAGGGUGACCAGCCACCUUGGUACUGAGGUACGGCCCAGACUCCUACGGGAGGCAACAGUGGGGAAUAUUGCACAAUGAGCGCGAGCCUGAUGCAACGACGCCGCGUGAGGAAUGACGGCCUUCGGGUUAUAAACCGCUGUCAGUAGGGAAAAAGAGAAAGUGACGGUACCUACAGAAGAAGCACCGGCUAACUACGUG